Marmota flaviventris (yellow-bellied marmot) is the source of this 1773-nucleotide non-coding RNA. The record is from RefSeq and is a predicted model, not a curated record. Lineage: Eukaryota; Metazoa; Chordata; Mammalia; Rodentia; Sciuridae.
UGGGCGUGGGCUCGGUGCUCUCCCUGGGCAUGUUGAUGGACAUGCAAUUAACCCGCCUGUGGUUAUGUUGGCAAUUGAACUGGAACAGGAAGUUAGCACAGGAACCAGGGCCUUUCAAGUGUUGACAAAUUCACGGAGCCUCUGCACCUGCGGGCGGGGAGCUGUGCUCCUGCCUCCACGAGGGAGCCAAGGAGCGGCAUGUCUGCUCCAGCCUGGGAGGACUGGCCCUUUCCCUGAGCCCCAGGGCCCAACAGCCACACCUGGGCAGAAGCUGAGGCCUGUCCAGUGUUGACCCUGAUGCUGGGCUCAGUCUGAUGCUGCAAAACCCUGAUGAGGAUGCCGGCCCUGCCCUGGCAGGAGCGAGUCGUGGGACCCGUGCUCUUCGGGAAUGGCGGUGCCUCGCAAGCCCACCUGCAGCCUGGGGAGUCUGAAACAGGGCCUGGGCGUGUGGGACCAGGAGCACCCUCCACGAUCCCCCCUGGACAGGCUUCCUCCUGAAUUCCAAACCACUGACCCCAACUGUCGAAUCAGUGUGGAACAAAAUAUUGGAAGGACAAAGUCACAAACGAAGAUUUGACUUCUAGGUCAUAGCACGGGAGAGAAGCAUGGAAACAGACGAACACAGGGGCCGGGCCGGGCCCUGGGCCCACAGGAGAACUCGGGUCUGUGGCGCAGGGUGGUGUCCUACAACAGCAAGGUCUGACUCUGAUGGUCCUGCUGCCGAGUCUGGGGGAUCUGGUCCGUGCUGUAGGAGACCCACCGUCUCAGGGCACAAUGGGCUCUUGUCAGCAACGUGCUCUCAAGUGGGUCAGAAAACAGGGUGAUAAGGUGCGCUGCAGCGUGGCACGUGGGGUGCAGAGGCUCCUUUCACGGCUCCAGCCAACUUUCCAUACGUUGGAAGUUAUACAAAAGAGUAAAGCUAAAAACAAAACCUGGAUCAGAACAUGAAAAGGUGAGCCACAGACUAGGAGAAGGUACCCAGAAACCACACUCCAGACCAGGGGCGAGGGUCCGAGAUACACGGGAAACUCUUAAAGCUCCAGGAUAGGCUGGGCCGUGGCUCAGCGGUGGAGCGCUUGCCUAACACGUGUGACGCCCUGGGUUCCAUCCUCAGCACCACAGAAAGAUAAAUGAAUAAAAUAAAGGUAUUGUGUCCAUCUACGACUAUCAAAAAAAAACCCCUCCAUGGUAAAAAAGCAAGCAAUUCGGUUAGAAAAUGAGCAAAGACACGAGCAAACAUUUCAUUAGAGAGGUUAUACAGAUUGCAAAUAAGCACUUGAAAGGAUGUUCAGCAUCAUCAGUUGUCAGAAAAGUGGAAAUGGAAACCACAGCACCAUGUCAGCACACACCCAUCAGAACGGCUAAAAUAAAAAUAGUCGCAAAACCCAUUGCUUUGGAGGAUGUGGAGAAACGGAACCAUUCAUGCACUUCUGGUAGGUAGGUAACCUGAUCCCAUCUCUCCAGAAAAGGGUUUAGCAGCUUCCUAAAAAAAAUAAGCACAACCACCAAACAACCUCACAAUCACAUUCUUGGGAAUUUAUCCCAGAGAAGUGAAGUUCACACAAAAUCCCAAACAAGAAUGUCCAUGGCGGCUUCACAACAGCUGGACCUGGGGAACAACCCAGACGGCCUUCUGUGGGUGGACGGUGGAGGAACCUCCCCGGCUCAAGGCUGCUCAGCCAGGGGAAGGAGCCAGCGUGGCCCAGGGGAAGGAAGCUGGGUUUGGUGGCACAGGCCUGUCAUCCCAGCAACUCGGGAGGCUGAGGCAGGAGG